UUUGAACGCUGGCGGCAGGCUUAACACAUGCAAGUCGAGCGGGGUGAUGGUGCUUGCACUAUCACUUAGCGGCGGACGGGUGAGUAAUGCUUAGGAAUCUGCCUAUUAGUGGGGGACAACAUCUCGAAAGGGAUGCUAAUACCGCAUACGUCCUACGGGAGAAAGCAGGGGAUCACUUGUGACCUUGCGCUAAUAGAUGAGCCUAAGUCGGAUUAGCUAGUUGGUGGGGUAAAGGCCUACCAAGGCGACGAUCUGUAGCGGGCCUGAGAGGAUGAUCCGCCACACUGGGACUGAGACACGGCCCAGACUCCUACGGGAGGCAGCAGUGGGGAAUAUUGGACAAUGGGGGGAACCCUGAUCCAGCCAUGCCGCGUGUGUGAAGAAGGCCUUAUGGUUGUAAAGCACUUUAAGCGAGGAGGAGGCUCUUUUGGUUAAUACCCAAGAUGAGUGGACGUUACUCGCAGAAUAAGCACCGGCUAACUCUGUGCCAGCCGCCGCGGUAA
Molecule: ribosomal RNA, 503 nt
Filed under: uncultured bacterium
Lineage: Bacteria
Description: partial 16S ribosomal RNA
Rfam family: Bacterial small subunit ribosomal RNA
Source: RNAcentral